CAUGGUUUAGCUAGUCUAACCAAGCAAAAAGAAAUUCAGUUUGACUUCCCGAAACUAAGUGAGCUACCUUAGGACAGCCUAAUGGGCAAACCCGUCUCUGUUGCAAAAGAGUGGGAAGAUCUUAAAGUAGAGGUGAUAUACCUAACGAACUUAGCAAUAGCUGGUUAUUUAAGAAAAGAAUCUUAGUUCAACCUAAAGCUUUAUCAAUACCCCAAAAUAAAAGUUAACUUUAGAGCUAUUCAAAUAAGUCACAGCUUAUUUGAAAUAGGGUACAACCUCAACCUGUGGGUAAUUAAUUACUGACCAAAAACAAGUAGGCCUAAAAGCAGCCACCUUUGAAAAAGCGUCAAAGCUUAACCUCCAACACUUCUUAUAUCCCUUAAACUAUUAAAAACCCCUCAACAGUACUAAAUAAUCCUAUACCCAUAUAGGACUCUUUAUGCUAAAACUAGUAACAAGAAUACCUUCUCUUAUAUGUAAGUGUAAAUCAGAAUAGAAAUACUACUGAUACCUAACAGCCUUAACUUGAAGUACCAAACUACAUAGAAAAAUCUACUCAUUUAGCUGUCAAUCUAACACAAGAACAUAAAAAGAAAGAUUAUAAGAAAAAGAAGGAACUCGGCAAACCUUGAUUCCGCCUGUUU
Molecule: ribosomal RNA, 644 nt
Filed under: Eleutherodactylus cf. auriculatus 4 AR-2009
Lineage: Eukaryota; Metazoa; Chordata; Amphibia; Anura; Eleutherodactylidae
Description: partial 16S ribosomal RNA
Rfam family: Bacterial large subunit ribosomal RNA (bases 1-447)
Source: RNAcentral